This 500-nucleotide ribosomal RNA is filed under the name uncultured bacterium. RNAcentral describes it as "partial 16S ribosomal RNA". It matches the Rfam family "Bacterial small subunit ribosomal RNA", at positions 30 to 523 of the family's 1533-position model. The record is from RNAcentral.
AUUGAACGCUGGCGGCAUGCCUUACACAUGCAAGUCGAACGGCAGCACGGGAGCAAUCCUGGUGGCGAGUGGCGAACGGGUGAGUAAUAUAUCGGAACGUGCCCAGUCGUGGGGGAUAACGUAGCGAAAGCUACGCUAAUACCGCAUACGAUCUAUGGAUGAAAGCGGGGGAUCGCAAGACCUCGCGCGAUUGGAGCGGCCGAUAUCAGAUUAGGUAGUUGGUGAGGUAAAGGCUCACCAAGCCGACGAUCUGUAGCUGGUCUGAGAGGACGACCAGCCACACUGGGACUGAGACACGGCCCAGACUCCUACGGGAGGCAGCAGUGGGGAAUUUUGGACAAUGGGCACAAGCCUGAUCCAGCAAUGCCGCGUGCAGGAUGAAGGCCUUCGGGUUGUAAACUGCUUUUGUACGGAGCGAAAAGGCUUCCACUAAUACUGGGGGCUCAUGACGGUACCGUAAGAAUAAGCACCGGCUAACUACGUGCCAGCAGCCGCCGUAA